Molecule: non-coding RNA, 32 nt
Filed under: Mus musculus (house mouse)
Lineage: Eukaryota; Metazoa; Chordata; Mammalia; Rodentia; Muridae
Source: RNAcentral
UAGGAAUCCCAGUUUAAUAAGGCUGACUCCAC